UACGUAGGUGGCAAGCGUUGUCCGGAAUUACUGGGUGUAAAGGGAGCGUAGACGGCCAGACAAGCCUGAAGUGAAAAUCCAGCGCUUAACGUUGGAAGUGCUUUGGAAACUGCCGGGCUAGAGUGCAGGAGGGGCAGGCGGAAUUCCUAGUGUAGCGGUGAAAUGCGUAGAUAUUAGGAGGAACACCAGUGGCGAAGGCGGCCUGCUGGACUGCAACUGACGUUGAGGCUCGAAGGCGUAGGGAGCAAACAGG
Molecule: ribosomal RNA, 253 nt
Filed under: uncultured bacterium
Lineage: Bacteria
Description: partial 16S ribosomal RNA
Rfam family: Bacterial small subunit ribosomal RNA
Source: RNAcentral